RNAcentral lists this ribosomal RNA (505 nucleotides) under uncultured bacterium. RNAcentral describes it as "bacterial SSU rRNA". It matches the Rfam family "Bacterial small subunit ribosomal RNA", at positions 8 to 507 of the family's 1533-position model. The record is from RNAcentral.
AGAGUUUGAUCCUGGCUCAGAUUGAACGCUGGCGGAAUGCUUUACACAUGCAAGUCGAGCGGCAGCGCGGGGGCAACCCUGGCGGCGAGCGGCGAACGGGUGAGUAACAUAUCGGAACGUACCCAGUCGUGGGGGAUAACUAUCCGAAAGGAUAGCUAAUACCGCAUACGACCCGAGGGUGAAAGCGGGGGGACCGAAAGGCCUCGCGCGAUUGGAGCGGCCGAUAUCGGAUUAGCUAGUUGGUGAGGUAAAGGCUCACCAAGGCGACGAUCCGUAGCUGGUCUGAGAGGACGACCAGCCACACUGGAACUGAGACACGGUCCAGACUCCUACGGGAGGCAGCAGUGGGGAAUUUUGGACAAUGGGGGCAACCCUGAUCCAGCCAUUCCGCGUGAGUGAAGAAGGCCUUCGGGUUGUAAAGCUCUUUCAGCAGGAACGAAACGGUGGUCCCUAAUACGGGCUACUAAUGACGGUACCUGAAGAAGAAGCACCGGCUAACUACGUG